UUACGGUUAGAUCACUUUGCAAACAGUGGUUCCUGUACGAUCACCAAAGUUAAGCAACGUCGAGUCUGGUCAGUACCCAAAUGGGUGACCGCUUGUGAAUAUCAAGUAAU
Acanthosepion pharaonis is the source of this 110-nucleotide non-coding RNA. NCBI's taxonomy places the organism in Eukaryota, Metazoa, Mollusca, Cephalopoda, Sepiida, Sepiidae. The record is from the annotation of a GenBank genome assembly.